AUGACAAAUUCAUGGUCUCAGUAGUAUUACCAAUGAGUUCAGGAUUUCUUAAACUUUUAAACCUUAUAUGAAAGAAAAAAAAAUGUGAAUGACUUUUCAUGUUUGUACUGAGCAUUCAUGUGAUAAUAUCUCAUCUCUGAUUAAUGAAAAAAAAAAAAUCCAUAAAUUGACUUCGAAGAAUUGUUCCUUUUUUUUUUUUUUUUUAUUUAGCACAAUCCUUGUGUGCCGCCUCAUGUUGCAUGGAAAUCAUAGAAGCAGUUCCUUCUUGCAUCACAGCACAGGUGAACUUUGCAUUUCAUACAAUACAUUUGUACUUUUCCCUUACAGCCUGGCAACUUGCAUGUGCCCCUAUUUGCACUGAAAGCAAGGAAAUGCCCAACAUUGUCUUGCCGUGUGUCUUUUUCUGGAAUUUUCUUGGUGGCUCUCCCAGUUUUCCUCUUCUGAGCAAAGGCACUGUCCACAGCAUUUGAAGGUCUUCCUCUUUUACUUGUCACAUCUUUCCACCACACAUCAGGGACCUUGAUAGUCUUAGCCUGAACUCACAGAGAAUAUUCUGCUUACGAGAAGGGACUCACUCCCACAGCAGUUGCUGAUCGUCUGUACUGUAACCAACAGUUUACCACAGUCAUGUCAAGUAAGUGAAAUACAAGCCUCUGAUAGUAUUUCCUUGCUUUGAAGGUUGUAAGCAAGCAAUUGGUCACACAAAUCAACACCUGCCAUAUGUUUGUUACAAUCUGCUACAAUGUUGGGCGUGGGGGUUUCAACUCUGUCUUUAGUGUUCUUGUCGUGCCUGGAACAUUUCUCUGUUGGCCAUGAUGUUGUAAAUGAUGAUACAAGACACACUGACUUGGUAUCCAUCCACUUGACACCUGAAAUUUUAGUGUCCCCAGUUUUCGUUUCCCAUUCAUCAUGACAACCUGUACCUUGAGCUGCAAGUUGUCUCUGACUUGAACGUCAAACCUUCUAGCCUCCUUGCCUGCACUGUGCCAGAACACCAUAUUCCCCUCGAGGCUAGAUGUUCAAGGAGGGGCACAGAUGUGAACCAACUGUCAAAGUACAGUCUGUGAUUAUUCAUGCUCGGUAUACUUUCAGCAAGAUGCAGUACUGCAUUCGAGAUUGGUUUGAGAUCUGGAACAUCAGGCUUGCCAACAGCUUGAAUUUUUCUAGUAUAAGGCAUAAAAUCACACACCACACCCAUGCUGUCUGCCAACACAAAUAUCUUAUAACCCCAUUUAUGAGUUUUUUUUAUUUCUUGAAUGUUUACCUCUCUCUUCAUAUCGUCCUUUCACUUCCUUAUUCUCUUCACAAUGCUGUUAUACAUGACUGACCUUGGAAGGGACCAUUUGCUCAUCUACACACAGGUUUUCUGUCGUGGGGAUUUGUGGAAACUUCUCCUGUAGGUGGUUAACUAGAGGUCUCACCUUGCAUAUUUUGUCAGUUUUGUCUAGUGUCGUGUUGUCAACAAAAUGCAGAUUUGAUUUGAUUUCCUUCAUCCACUUCAUAACACUCAUCCCCGCUAACUUCGGCAUCACUGGCAGCUAACAAUGUUUCCACCAGCCUUUCGGUGGUGUUGGAACUUUUAUUUUGUCCGCAGAAUGCAGUAGUACUGCAGCAACGAGAGGGUCUUGCAAGAAUAUUUACUUGUCACUCAUUGUUUUUAAUUCAUUACACAUCUAUGGUGUUAUAGUGUAAAUCAAACCAAGUUUAAUAUAUAACAAAACUAUUUGCAUGUCACUGCAAAAAUAUAUCGGUAGUAUAACAAAGACGAAAAUAUUACUCAUUUAUAUAAUAGUAUUCAUUUGCCUGAUAGGACAGAAAUGUCACCUUUAAACAAGCACUACAGAUGUUUGGCAAAGGGUGAUAUGAGGAUUUUUGGGAUGUAAAUAUGAUCUUUAGGUGUGCGUUUAUCACAGCAAAUUUUGUCAUAAUUGUGCUUUACCUGGGGAUACAUCCAUGAUGCAGUGAAAGUGGCUGCUUUGCGCAACCUCCGGCACGCAUCCACCUGCUCUCAGUGUCCUGGUUCAUCCGAGAAGCGGCAACCAUUCCAGUGUAAACAAAGGUGCCGAUCGAAAGCUGAAACGGGACUUGUAUGUCCUGACCGGCGAGCGAACUCUGAUACAGAGUUCAGAGUUAAAACCAUGUAUUCCAAGGAGGACAUAUUUGUCCUCUUCGACAGUAAAGAGUUAAGACCCCUGUACUCCCAAAGCAAACCUCGUCUUUAAUUUUCAGGGAGAGUGAUCUAUACUAUCCCUAUUACUACUACUAUUAUGACUAUUUCCAGGUUAAGAGUGACUACCUGGAGGAUGAAAGCAGGGCGGCAGAAGGCAUGGAUUUCGACACAGCCAUCCAGCUCACUUGCAUCGAAAUCAAGCGAGUCUUUAAGCGGAUGAACGGAUGCGCGAUGGACAAGAAGUCAAAUCUUGAGCAGCCGGAGAAGGAAGUCGGUCUACAUGAAUUCCUACCGGCCUACAUCAUCAACACCACCAAACAGAAAACGUUACGUAAGGCUUUGCAGGGAAACUUUAAGAAAUUCUCGGCGUUCUUCGAUUACGAAUCUCACUUCAAGUGCCUCGAGAUUUUGGGAAAAGUUGGAAAGUUUGACAUCGAAAACUUCCGCUGUGCACUCGGCUGUGGUUGGUCUAUUCCUGUCACUCUGCUUGUCGGCCCAAGUGUUGGUAUUUCCUACUGGACAGAUUCUGCCUCUGCCGUAGCAGGUACUACAGAAGCCCUCACCAUCACCAUCACCUGCCCCUCCAUUGGCGGAGCAGAGAGCUUAGCAGACCUGGUUGACAGCUACUGCAGGCUUGUCAACCAAUCCAGCAUGUCGCUGUGGACUGUGUGGAGAGAGAGAGAGAGAGAGAGAGAGAGAGAGAGAGAGAGAGAGAGAGAGAGAGAGAGAGAGAGAGAGAGAGAUAGGGGGAGGAGGGACUGUAGGUGAACUUGAAGGAGAAAUAGGAGGAAUGCUCUUUUAAAAGGCUCUAGUUGAAGUUGUAAGGGUUUUUAAGGGUGUUCUUAAGGCUCUAGUGAUAGAUUAACAACAGGAGAAACACUCUUUUAAAAGGCUCUAGUUGAAAUGAUGCAGGUUUUUAAGGAUGUUUUUAAGGUUCCAGUAACAGAUUAACAAUAUUUCUGCAUUACUGACAGGAGAAACACUCUUUUAAAAAAGCUCUAGUCGAAGAUGUAAGGUUUUUAAGGGUGUUUUCAGGGUUGAGGUGACAGAUUAACAACAUCUGCAUUACUGACAGGAAAAACAUUUUUAAAAGACUCUAGUAAAGUUUUUUUUUAUUUUUAUUUUUUUAAGGUUGUAGUGACAGAUUAACAACAUUUCUGCAUUAUUGACAGGAGAAACACUCUUUUAAAAGGUUCUAGUUGAAGUUGUAAGGGUUUUUAAUAUUUUUUAAGGUUGUAGUGACAGAUUAACAACAUUUCUGCAUUAGUGACAGGAGAAACACUUUUGAGAACCUUGCAAACCAUCACUGUGGCUUUAUGAAACAGUCAGUGGUGAGAGACCUGACCUGAGCCUGUGUGACCUGAUCUUCUCCAGGCUCGUGUGUGUGUGUGUGUGUGUGUGUGUGUGUGUGUGUGUGUGUGUGUGUAAGUUUGUUUACUACUACUACUAUUACUCAUAAAAGUAAUAAUAAUGACAAUAAUUAUGAUACUACUACUACUACUACUACUACUACUACUACUACUACCACUACUACUACUACUACUGCUGCUACUGCUACUACUACUACUACUACUACUACUACUACUACUACUACUACUACUACUGUAAUAGGCACUACUUUGCAUGAAGAAAAGAAUAGAUAUAAGAGUAGAAUUAGAAGGAAAUUAGAGACGCGUUAGAGAAUCUAACGCUAGUAUUAGAAGAAUUGUGCAAGAGGUGAACAGGACGUUGAAUUGAUAACAGCCAAGCUUAACUAUAAACAGCCGGUUUGUUUCAUGCCCAUUCAGCUUGUUAAAGGCUUACCUCCCAUUGGGUGGAGAUUAAAACGUCAUUCAUUUUUCUUGAUAUUAUUGGCUAUGGAAAUCUAUGACGUAUGCCUCGACACCUCUCGGACAAUCCUCAAGUCACUUUUAGAGUAGCAGCCACUCACCAAGAUAGUACAGACGCACAACCCGUGUCGCUCUGACUUGAGUUACUCAAAGACUUAGACUCUGAUCAAGACGCAAGAGUCUUAAUAACUUUGCUUAUAACCUUUGUCGUGUGAUUGAGUAGUAAAGAAGAACACUGUUGUUGAGCUGUAAGACAAUUUAUAUUUUCUAAAUAAACUGCAACACGCCAGACUAACUUUGAUAACCCACUUGCACAAGGAUGUUGUGAGUGAUGAUUAUCGAGAAAGAAAAUCGUCGUUUCCGAUACCAAGCUACGCCCACCGACACAUAGUCGCCACAGAGGCUAGAGACAGUGUGCACAUAUACAUGACAACACAGUGGUGGCAACACAGUGGUGUUCAGCUUAUUGGGAUUCUGAAGCCUAAACAACCUCCGAAGAGUAAGAAGAGUUUACAAACAUUAAAAACAAACAGCAGCAACGGAAACAACAGCAAUAACGCUUCCCCAGCCAACACAGUGAGUCAAGGUCAACCCCACAAGUGUGCACAAGUCCCGCACCGCGCAGCACCGCGCCACACCUCAUCACACUCCCGAGCCACUACUCACACGAUCAAACUCAAGAGUAACUCUCAAUUAAUACCACCAAACAACGAGACCAAUAUCUAAAUACUAAGAAGAGACUUAGAAGAGGAAACCGCAGCCAGAGACGAGAGCAGGAUCAGCGCCGCCCCAGCAGCCGCCGCACACAGCCAUCAGCCACAGCACGCCGCCACCAGCAGCCGCUGCACACAGCCAUCAGCCACAGCACGCCGCCACUAGCAGCCGCCGCUCAAGAGGACAUCGCUACUCACUUGUCUAUACUUUGGUAACAGUAUUCAACCUGUCAAUCAUUAAUGUAAUUAUAUUCAUGUAAUACUUUAUCUAAUACCCAGUGCACCAACAGUUUGUGUAUGCCUGAGGAAUGACUGAGCACGAAGAAACAUUGAGUAUAACUGCCUUAUUGUAGAGCGUCUCCCAACAUUAUCACACACACUACCCAUCAUCAUAGGACAAGGUAUGUAAAUUGUACACAUGUAUGCCACUACCUAGUCAAGUUUCAAGUCGAACUAGUCCUAUCUUUACUCGCAGUUUACGAGCUUUACGUGAAAGUAGAAACUCCACCAUGACAAACGCUAACGUAGUAAAACAUUCAAUCAUCACCACUGUUGCUGAUAUCCCAAAAUUCAGUGGAGAACCUGAUACUAUUGAUUUAAAUCAGUAUGUCAAAAGAAUAGAAACUUUGAUCAAAAACAAAGGUAUUGUUGAGGAUAACUUAAAAAUAGAAUGUUUCAAAGAACACAUUGACGCUGUUAAGGGCACAGCUCGUCACGUCAUAGUAUAUUCACAUUUAGACAACAUCAAAACAUUUGAUGAGUACAUCAAAGCUUUUAAAAAGCACUUCACAACAAAAAGCGAUAGAGAUCCAAUACGCGCCAUGGUCAAGUUUCUGAAAAUAGCUCCAGAACAAAACGAGACACAAACAGCAUUCAUUUCAAGGUUGGAUACACAAGCAAGAGACAUCGAAGCAAUCUUUGAAAACUCAGAUUGGUCUGUGAAAAAUGAACCCAAACAAAUCUCCUUGAAAAACAUGGCUCUCGUUAUGAUGCUAGCACAAAUUGUCAAAUCAAACAAGGGUGUAGUACAGGAAAGACUCUAUAAAGACAUCAAACCAAACAUACAGUUAGGUGAGGUAGAUUGCCUACUCAAAGGCUAUGCAGAAAUAGAUCCUACUUGCAGUACAUAUGUGUUAGCUGCUAGCUCAGACUCACGCACACCAACCACACAAAGGCAAGGACGAUCACAAUCUAGAACCACAACACCUUAUAAUGGUAGGAGUCCUUCUAGACAAAGACAAACAAUUGAAUGUUACAAUUGCCACAAAUUUGGAAACUCUGCAAGGGACUGCUACGCUAAUAUCACCUGUUCCAACUGUCAGUAUAAAGGUCACAAAGAAUCAGUAUGUAGAAAUCCUCCUUGGUGUACUUAUCAUCACAGAAUUGGGCACAGGACAGCAGACUGUCGUGCUAGAAGUCAGGAUUUUCACAAUGGCCAAAAAGAAAAAAAACAGUACAACUUAGUCACUUCAUCAGUAGCCAACAGAAGGUCAACUCGCCACAUUUCAUAUCAAAACCAGGAAAUAAAAGAAUCCAAAGCACAGCCAUGGUACUCCAACUUAGAUAAAAGCCAGGAAGUAAAGGAAGUUAUCUAUAUAAAUGACAACUCCGGAGGUCCGCUCAUAGCUGGACGAGUGUUUGAUGAACCCAGUCACAUGUUUCUAGACACAGGAGCACGUAUAAACUUAAUCAGUCUAGAUUUUCUAAGAAAAGCGAAACCUGGUUUGGUCAUUAUUGAGCCAACCACAUUCAACAUUCAUGGAGUUACCGGAAACAAACUCACACCUUUAGGAGAAACACAGAUAACUGUAACUUUUGGGAACUAUUACAUGUUUGAAUUAACAGCUGUUGUGGUAGAACAGCAAGCGUUCCCAGGAAACUUACUCAUUGGAUAUGACACAAUGCGAGAUGAAGACAUAACUAUCUUCCCUGCGAAGGGAGGAGUUAAAAUAUCUUACAAGUUUCUACCAUUCGUUAACACCCGCAGCCAAGAUGUCCUGGCACCAGUUAGUCAACAACCUAAGACAGAAGUAAACACAGUUCCCUCAGAUAAUAACGUGGCAGAGCGGUACUUAAACAAUUCAUCACCAGUACUUGACGAGAAUUGCAUUCCUACGGAACGUCAUGAAAAGACAAAUUCCCCACUGAUAACCCAAAAGAACAAACAACAUGCACCAACCGAAGCCUUGAAAAUUGUUUCAGGUUCUGUAACAGAGUGCACGCUGUUGCAGGCUCAGUCUAUUUGCAAGGUAAAGGUUAGUCUAAAAGGAAUAAGUGAUCAUGUGACAGCGAUUGCCUUAAGCGAGUCGUCACGUAUUCGUGGAAUAAAUUUAGAAAGUGGUCUUUACCAUACAAACAGGGGUAAAUCUGAAGUAUUUGUCAUCAACACGCUUCACACAGACGUAACUAUUAAGAAAGGAACAGAGUUAGGACGUUUCCAAGUCAGUAAAGCUAUAGAAAUAAUCAAUAAUCAAGACCUUAGCUCUGAUAAAGAUGAACAAAUAGCACAAGUGUUUUCGCUACAAGAAUCCUCACAGAGUGAGAAAGAGAUAAAGAAACACCUCGCUCCCACUAGUCGUCCAGAUCUUGAGAAAGAACUAGUACACUUACUACACCUGCAUAAAGCAGCAGUUGCUUUGCCAGGAGAAGCCUUGGGUAAAACAACUCUAUUGCAGCACAAAAUCAAACUCCAGCCAGGAACACAGCCUAUUUACGUUCCCGCAUAUAGACUACCGCAUUCUAAACUUGCCACUGUUGAUAAAUUGAUUGAAGAUAUGUUGUCACAAGAUGUCAUAGAACCUAGUGACAGUGAGUGGAAUUUUCCACUAAUACUUGUGCCCAAACCGGACGGUACCAUGAGACCAGUGAUUGAUUACAGGGAACUCAACAAGAAAACAAUUCCAGACAGACUUCCGCUUCCAGUUAUUUCUGAUGUUCUUCGAAGUCUAGGCACUUCAAAUAAGUUAUUUAGCACAAUUGACAUAAAAUCUGCAUUUUGGCAAAUAGAGCUCGAUGAAGCUUCACGUCCAUUGACAGCAUUUUCUACACCAACAGGACAUUAUCAAUUUCGUAGAAUGCCAUUCGGAUUAUCGAACAGCCCACUUACUUACAUGAGAUUAAUGAACAAUGUCCUACAAGGUUUGAUUGGGAAGACUGCUAGUGUUUUCCUUGAUGACAUUUUAAUAGUUUCACAAACAGAAGAAGAACACUUCCACAAACUAAACCAAGUCUUCACCAGACUCGUAUCAGCAGGAUUAAAGAUCAAGUUGGAAAAAUGUCGCUUUCUACAAGAGGAAGUAACUUACUUAGGUCAUCAAAUAGACAGUCAAGGUCUGAGGACAGUACAGUCAAAGGUAGACGUCGUAAAACAAUUUCCUCAACCAACCUCAGUUGAAAAAGUAAGAAGUUUCUUAGGACUAACAGGAUAUUAUAGAAAAUUUAUCAAGAAUUACGCUGACAUAGCACAACCAUUGAGUUCACUCCUGAAAAAGAAUACUACAUUCUCUUGGGGUCCUUCCCAAACCAAAGCAUUUGAAACACUGAAAAACAAGCUCACAAGUUCGCCAGUAUUGAUUUUCCCAGAUUACACAAAAGAGUUCAUCUUGUGUACAGAUGCCUCUGACAUAGGGUUAGGAGGAAUACUAUUGCAGGAAAGAAAUGGUAAUCCACACCCAAUUGCAUAUGCUUCCAGACUUUGCACAGCUGCAGAAAAGAAUUAUAGCAUCACAGAACGCGAGACUUUAGCAGUGAUAUAUUGUCUAGAACACUUCAGAGAUAUCAUAUUGGGUUACAAGAUUAGAGUGUGGACAGACCACACCGCAAUUCAGAAUCUGUUUAAACACAAGAAUUUAAGAGGACGCUUAGCACGUUGGUUUGUGACACUGCAGAAUUAUGAAAUAAACUUUGAAUACAUACCAGGAAAGAAAAAUACAGCAGCCGAUGCUCUAUCACGAAACAUAGUCUCACACGGAGAAGUAAAUAGUGUAGUAUGCAGUAUCCAAGAACUAACCACAUUAGACAAUGAACUUGUAUACUCAGAACAAAGAAAAGAUGACACUUUGAAGCAAAUAAUAGAGCACCUUGAAGGUAAUACAGACAGAGAAGCACAGAUACUACAAAAGAAAUAUAAACUAUCGGAAUUCCAAUUACAUAAUGGAUUGCUAUACCGCAAUACCGAAAUAACAUGCAAAGGAGUAUCACGUGGAAAAGUGAAACAGUUAGUUAUACCCAAAGAGUUGGUACCAAAUGUCUUGCACUUCAUUCAUGAUUGUGCAACUAGUUCUCACCCAGGAAAAGAAAAGGCUUAUAGACAAGCACAACUGAAAUACUAUUGGACAGACAUGAGAAAACAAAUCUACAAUCAUAUAGAUAAUUGUAACGUUUGCGCAGAAACAAAAGGACACACACGCACACCAGCACCAAUGUUGAAUUACCCAAUUCCUGAGAAACCGUGGGAUAGAAUUCACCUUGAUACCUUGGAGUUGCCCCUAUCUAAUAAUGGAUUUAAAUAUUUACUAGUAAUCAUCGAUUACUUCUCCAGAUUUUGCAUUUUACAGCCAAUACAGAACAAGAAAGCAGAACAAUCGCUACAACUAUAUUUGAAAAAGUAAUAUGUCCAUACACAACCCCAAAAACUAUCAUCACUGACAAUGGUCCUGAAUUUAAUAACGCUAUUCUAGUAGAAAUAUGUCGCAUUUUCAACAAAAAGAAAAUAAAUGUACACGCCUACAAACCGGAAAGUAACGGAGUUGUGGAAAGACUUAAUAGAAAAGUCAUCACUUGUCUACGUACAUUGAUAAAUCCACACAGCAUUACGUGGGACACAUGGAUCCCACACGUCACAUGUGCUUUGAACACACAAAUCAAUUCAGCCACAGGUGAAACGCCACAUUAUAUUCUUUUUGGAGAGGAUAAGAAUUUACCGUACUCACUUCUAGAGUCAGCACCGCGUCAUGUCUAUAACUAUGAUGAUUUCAUACUAACUAGAAUCAAUAAAUUCAAGGAAAUUUACCAACGUAUCAGAAAUCACAUGAAUCAAUACUCACAAUACUUAACAAAACAACAACAUAAAAGGGCACGAGAAAUAAAAAUACAGCCAGGAAAUAUAGUCAUGGUCAAACUACACACGCCAAUAGGACAUAGCAACAAACUUUCGCCCAAGUUCAAGGGUCCGUAUAAAGUCAUUGCACAAUAUAGUGGAAAUAAAUUCACAAUACGAAAUUUGGAAACUGGUGAUAUCAGUGUACGCCAUGCAGAUGAGCUCAAACAGACAAACAUGAAUGAAUUUGGUGAUUAUGCAGUCAUAGAUAGUGAUGAAACAAAUAGCAUAGUAACAGACAAGACAGAAACAGACACAAACAAUGUAGAAACAGGAACUGAUAGUGCACAGACAGAAACAAGUCACCACGCAGCAGACGACGAAAGCCAUGAUUACAGGAAGAAAUUAAGAAGUCAUAGAAAACAAGUUUUGCCAUUAAUUUGCACCAAUGAACUCUCAUUAGAAUCUGAAUUUUAUGAGUAUGUUGAAGAAAUAUUAAAUGAGUUGAACAUAGAUUGUUAUUCUUUUUACAGGUAAAGAUGAAACAAGUGGCAUGCAUGUUCUCAGCUAUAGUAGUUCUAGCAACAGCCUGGGACCCUGUGAGGCCCGGAGCUUUAGUAAGGAAAAUCGGCGACAUGAUCAUUGUGAACCAAUCAGUAAGAGUACUAUUGAAAUUUGACAAUAUAAAUGUUGUAAGAGAAAAUGUCAGACAUAUCAAUAAUGGGUUACAGAUGGUAAAAGACAAAUUGAUAAUUAGUGAGAUAUCCAAUGUGAGAUUAGAGAAGAAAUUAGAUGCUAUACAGACGAAGGUCACCAAAAUAGAAAAUAACUUCCUACAUAGCAAAAGCAAAAGAGGAGUAGGUAUCGCAAUAGCGAUCGGAUCGUUAGUAGGUCUUGGAGUAACAAAUAUUGGUUUGUAUGCAGAACUUCGCUCAAAUGUAAAUAAUCUACAAAACUCAGUGUCCAGAAUCGAUGUCUUACAAGAAGAAACAGAAGAUAUACAACUUACCAUAGAUGAGAUGAUUAAUAGCAUAGAAACCUUAAGCACAGAGAACUCUAAAUUGAAGGAAUCCCUGGAAAUUUUCAUGGUCUUGGAUCAGUUGCACAUUAAGAUAAAUUAACUAAAUGCUGAAAUGGAACAGUUAAUUCAAGACUUAGUUACGGCUAAUGCUGGACAUGUUACAUACACAUUAUUUUCAAUAUCACAACUUCUAAACAUAACUCAACAAGCAAAAUAUGAGUGAAAUUUUCAACCUUUCUUUGAUUCAAAUAAUAUUGCUCUAUAUUAUCCCAUUCUUAAUUCAUUCAUAAAUGAUACUGGAGUACUCAUUGACAUACCAUUUUCAUCAGAAUUGAAAUAUCACAUGUAUAAUCUGAUUCCUUUCCCAAUGAAAUUUAAUAGUUCCAUUAUAACAGUUGAUACUGAUAUAACAUCUCCAACAAAUUACAUCCUAUCCAUAAAUGGUUUGAAAGAAAGUGUUAUAGUAAAUGAUGAUCUAUUGCACUGUAAGAAAACUAACGUAGACUUGUACAUUUGCUCAGCUACUUAUUUUACUUUCAAUGAAGCAUUGAGUCACUCAUGUGCCGCAUCCUUGGUGAAAAAUAUAUCCAUUGUACGUAAUUGUCAUUUCAAGGAAGAAACUCCCACACCACGUCAUGAAACUAUCCAGGAAUCUCACUACUUAUAUUUUCCAAACAAGACAACUGUAUCAGUCAUAUGCCCAGGAUUUCAACCUCAGAUAGCAUCAAUAGAAGGCUUAUAUCGUGUACCAGAUCAAUGUGAACUUCAUAGCCCCACACUCACAACAGUAGCAAAUAGGAAAAAGACUAUUGUACUUAAUAGAGAAAAUGUUUUACAGGACAUUACUAUGAAAUUCCCAGACAGAGCUCCUCCUUUGAAAAUCAGAAAGAUUAACAAGAAAAGACUUGUAACGCAAGUGUCAAAAACACACAAAGGUACUAUGUGGUAUAUAAUAUAUGUACUUCCAUUUGUCUUGAUAGUCACAUUGAGCACAAUAUCAAUGAUACUUACGAGUAUGUACAAGAAACUCAAGAAUUCAUCCAUCGAAAUGAAACACAUUUCCGAGCCGUAACCCUGUGAUAGGUAUGUAAAGAACAGCAAGCAUGUAAUAUUGUAAAUAGAAUAUGUAUGUAAAGAACAGCAAGCAUGAAAUACUGUAAAUAGAAUUUAUUGCAUAACAAUUUUGUCGGGACGACAAACGGUAGCUGCCGAGCCCUGUAAUAGGCACUACUUUGCAUGAAGAAAAGAAUAGAUAUAAGAGUAGAAUUAGAAGGAAAUUAGAGACGCGUUAGAGAAUCUAACGCUAGUAUUAGAAGAAUUGUGCAAGAGGUGAACAGGAAGUUGAAUUGAUAACAGCCAAGCUUAACUAUAAACAGCCGGUUUGUUUUAUGCCCAUUCAGCUUGUUAAAGGCUUACCUCCCAUUGGGUGGAGAUUAAAACGUCAUUCAUUUUUCUUGAUAUUAUUGGCUAUGGAAAUCUAUGACGUAUGCCUCGACACCUCUCGGACAAUCCUCAAGUCACUUUUAGAGUAGCAGCCACUCACCAAGAUAGUACAGACGCACAACCCGUGUCGCUCUGACUUGAGUUACUCAAAGACUUAGACUCUGAUCAAGACGCAAGAGUCUUAAUAACUUUGCUUAUAACCUUUGUCGUGUGAUUGAGUAGUAAAGAAGAACACUGUUGUUGAGCUGUAAGACAAUUUAUAUUUUCUAAAUAAACUGCAACACGCCA
Scylla paramamosain (green mud crab) is the source of this 12502-nucleotide long non-coding RNA. RefSeq lists it as uncharacterized. The record is from RefSeq and is a predicted model, not a curated record. The transcript is spliced from 4 exons. NCBI's taxonomy places the organism in Eukaryota, Metazoa, Arthropoda, Malacostraca, Decapoda, Portunidae.